This 359-nucleotide long non-coding RNA is filed under the name Monodelphis domestica (gray short-tailed opossum). Its description in RNAcentral is "lncRNA (ENSMODG00000038736.1)". Lineage: Eukaryota; Metazoa; Chordata; Mammalia; Didelphimorphia; Didelphidae. The record is from RNAcentral.
ACUAGAAGCUCUUCCAUUUCCUGCUUUUCUGAAAUUUGGUAUUUAGGGGCUUUCCAUUGGUCCCAAAUAACUAGCACUAGACUCUUCACCCCAUGCUGCUUGGAGGAAAUUCAAGAGACCGAGAAAGGUAUCCUUGGCCAUCUUACAAUACGGUAUUGCGAUUCCGUCGCCAUCUGGCAUUCUUCCAGAUCUGGCGUAGGCUCUGGGUCCACUCAUCCCCCCAACCCCACCCCUGCUGAGGCCUCAGGGGGAGCUGCCUCAGCAAGUGGGGUUUUUCUCUUGACCCACGCUCUGGUCUCCUAUGGGCCCUGGUCCUCAAUUUAUACCCUCUAGGACAAGUGACCUAACAAUGUGCCUGC